CCAAUGUGGGCAUCCAGCGAGGUUACUCUUGCCUGGCUCUGUCCGUAUGGCGUGUAGGAGCAUAGACUUGUAGUCUAUGAUGUAAAGUCCUGUUCCAUGACAUUGGAGAGAAAGCAUGUCCCCAGUCACUGGGCUGGUGAGGGCAGCACCCUGUAUAUUCCUAGACCUUCUCAGUCUUUGCCGUGUCUGAGGAGAUAAACCAUGCAGGAUACAAUU
Molecule: small nucleolar RNA, 216 nt
Organism: Amblyraja radiata (thorny skate)
Lineage: Eukaryota; Metazoa; Chordata; Chondrichthyes; Rajiformes; Rajidae
Product: small nucleolar RNA SNORA73 family
Exons: 1
Source: RefSeq, a predicted model, not a curated record